RNAcentral lists this ribosomal RNA (445 nucleotides) under uncultured bacterium. RNAcentral describes it as "bacterial SSU rRNA". It matches the Rfam family "Bacterial small subunit ribosomal RNA", at positions 358 to 825 of the family's 1533-position model. The record is from RNAcentral.
GGAAUCUUGCACAAUGGGCGAAAGCCUGAUGCAGCGACGCCGCGUGGGGGAUGAAGGCCUUAGGGUCGUAAACCCCUUUCAGCAGGGACGAAAAUGACGGUACCUGCAGAAGAAGCCCCGGCCAACUACGUGCCAGCAGCCGCGGUAAGACGUAGGGGGCGAGCGUUGUCCGGAUUUAUUGGGCGUAAAGAGCUCGUAGGCGGUUGCGUAAGUCGGAUGUGAAAACUCAGGGCUCAACCCUGAGACGCCAUCCGAUACUGCGCUGACUUGAAUCCAGUAGGGGAGUGUGGAAUUCCUGGUGUAGCGGUGAAAUGCGCAGAUAUCAGGAGGAACACCCAUGGCGAAGGCAGCACUCUGGGCUGGUAUUGACGCUGAGGAGCGAAAGCAUGGGUAGCGAACAGGAUUAGAUACCCUGGUAGUCCCUGAGCGGGCUGGCAAGGCGCAU